UUUUCGGUCCCUCGCAAUGAAGUCUGGUUUACCAGGUCAGGUUCGGAAGAAAGCAGCCAGAGUCAGAAUUUUCGUGUGCCGAGACUAAGCCGGAAAGGUU
This 100-nucleotide signal recognition particle RNA is filed under the name Aggregatibacter segnis ATCC 33393. RNAcentral describes it as "Bacterial signal recognition particle RNA". It matches the Rfam family "Bacterial small signal recognition particle RNA". From Rfam's summary of the family: The signal recognition particle (SRP) is a universally conserved ribonucleoprotein involved in the co-translational targeting of proteins to membranes. RNAcentral also lists the same sequence under 1 other name. The record is from RNAcentral. Lineage: Bacteria; Pseudomonadati; Pseudomonadota; Gammaproteobacteria; Pasteurellales; Pasteurellaceae.